GGAGGUGCUUAGCGGCAAACCCUGCCGUCACGAUUUUUUUCCGAAACAAAGAAUGGGUUCUCCUGUUUUUCGCCCUUCCAAACAGUAAACAUAGGCUAAUAAACUCGUUCUCCCUUGCGGGAAAAAAAAACGCAUUGUCCCUUUCCAACUCGGUUCUGCUUGACGCUCCCAUCGCUAUCGCUCUCUCCUAUCGCUGCUGCCCAAGGAUUGUUCGUGUCGGUUUAUUUUUUGAACGAAUUCAAACCGCGUCACGCCCAGCGCCAAAUCCGCCCGCUGGUUUGGCUUUGGCUACCGAAAGUUGGGAUUUGUUGCAUGCCCGUAGAUGAUGUUCGCCGAGGGGUUAGAUCGAGACUCGCUCAAGUGGGGUGCGGGAGAUGUGGCAGGGCCAUGGCACGGCGCUCCACAGCCGUGGACUCCUCGCCCCGCCGCACGGACGUUCCCCUGUACCGUUGCGCCAAUAUGCCCGGGCAGCAGCAGAAUUUCUACUCCAGUGACGGCUAUUCGGAUCUGAGCUCUUCGGGAGACAACUUUGCCAAGGGUAUGCAUCAGAGUAUUCCCAUACUGGCCCAGUCCGAAGAGAAGCGAACAAUGCGGUUCCUCGUAUGUCAGGCGAGCCUUCCAACUCGAGAACUUACCAGUCAGAUCACUAUAUUCUGCUCAAGUCACUGCUCGAGACAAUGUCAAAUCUUCUCCUAAAAUGGUUCUAGUAUAUUUUACAUCAGGCUUGCAGCUUUUACAUCAGACGAGCUACAGUUUUGCAUGUGGUACUUUUAAAUCUGGCAAAAGAAAAUUUAGAGAACUGACAUUAAACUCGUAGACUGGAAAGAUGAAGUGGUAACCAUGUAUGCUUCAACAUCAAACCAACCUUAAUUUUUAUUUUUGUAUUGAGAAAAGUAUAUUUUUGAUCCCUCAACUGGCAGCAAAGUUUAGAAAUGGUCCCUCAAUUGGCAAAACCGGAUACUCGUCAAAAAUUCUUAGGAAAAACCACACUAGCGAAGUCAAAACCAAUCAAAACCGUCCAAAACCGGUAGAGGGACUAGAAGUAUCCGGUUUUGCCAAUUGAGGGACCAAAUGCAUAGGAUUUUGAGUUGAGGGACCAUUUCUAUACUUUGCUGCCAAUUGAAGGAUCAAAAAUACACUUUUCUCUUUUGUAUUUGAUUGUUUCCUCACAAAGAACACUAUACAUGUUAACAUGUACUAACACUAUAUAGAGAACUAUCACUAUAUAGAGCCAUAGAGCUUAUGCCCUUUGGACUCAUGACAUUCAUUUAAGUUUCCCCAGUAUUUCAAGCAUUACUAUGUACUAGUAAUCGAGCACAUGCAAUGCACGUGUUUUUUGAAAAAUCCUAAUUGAAUAAAAUAAUUAGUGAAAACAUAUACUCCCUCCGUCCCGAAAUAAGUGACGUGGAUUUGUAUAAGAAUCUAUACGAAUUCACAAAACAUGUACUUUUCCGUACAUGCAUGUGUCUGUCGUAUAUUCAUUCAUCAUGGUACAACCUCUCCGGUACCCUCACACCCAAAUAAAUAAAUAAAUCUGCACCAGUUUUACAUAUGAUUUGUCUCUGGUGGUACGUACAUUAGAAGCUUGCCGAUUUGGCUCCCAUCGGCCAUGGUAUGAACAAUAAAAAGCUACUCUCACAAUUAAAAAAACCUCUUGUAACUUUAAAAAAACAAACUCUUGCACUCUUUUGGUACAUAUGGUAUUCCUACAGCCUCAUGGUAGGUAUUGACCAAGUGAAAAAAAGACAACCACAACAAGCUCCUCUCGAUAAAAAAAAACUAAUCUGCAAAAAUAUUAUCUCCAAAUGGAUGCUUAAAAAUCUCAGAUCCCACAAGAAAACUCAUCUCCAGAUCAAUAAAAAAAUCGCACUUGACAAAGUCUCCCACAACAUCCUCCUUUCAAGAGAAAAAAAAAA
RNA transcript from Brachypodium distachyon (stiff brome), 1916 nucleotides. It is a transcript of the gene named GDSL esterase/lipase At5g03610, with no coding region annotated. NCBI's taxonomy places the organism in Eukaryota, Viridiplantae, Streptophyta, Magnoliopsida, Poales, Poaceae. The transcript is spliced from 4 exons. The record is from RefSeq and is a predicted model, not a curated record.